AAAAGGUCGAGUACACCGAUCAUAUUUUUUUUAUUUUUUAAAGCUAUAAUUUUAUCAAUAAAUGAAAACUGUGGUAAAAAGCUAUGAAGCCACAGUUUGAUGUAGAUUUGAAGGAUGAUAGGUUUCUAAAUCAAUCACCAAUAAGAUCGUUCUGUAUUGGGACUCAAAAUUAUUUAAGACAUUAAAAUUGAAAGUAUUUUUGUUAUAUUAUGUUUAGCAUUGAUUGCGUCUGUUCUUUAAUGUUGAACACUGCGUCUGUUUAAUAUUUGGUUCUGUAAUGUUGAGCACUGCGUCUGUUUAAUAUUUAAUUUUAGUUCUGUAAUGUUGAGCACUGCGUCUGUUUAAUAUUUAGUUCUUUAAUGUUGAGCACUGCGUCUGUUUAAUAUUUAGUUCUUUAAUGUUGAGCACUGCGUCUGUUCAAUAUUUGGUUCUGUAAUGUUGAGCACUGCGUCUGU
RNAcentral lists this long non-coding RNA (455 nucleotides) under Mytilus galloprovincialis (Mediterranean mussel). The record is from RNAcentral. Lineage: Eukaryota; Metazoa; Mollusca; Bivalvia; Mytilida; Mytilidae.